AGCGAACGCUGGCGGCAGGCCUAACACAUGCAAGUCGAACGGACCCUUCGGGGUUAGUGGCGGACGGGUGAGUAACACGUGGGAACGUGCCUUUAGGUUCGGAAUAGCUCCUGGAAACGGGUGGUAAUGCCGAAUGUGCCCUUCAGGGGAAAGAUUUAUCGCCUUUAGAGCGGCCCGCGUCUGAUUAGCUUGUUGGUGGGGUAAUGGCCCACCAAGGCUACGAUCAGUAGCUGGUCUGAGAGGAUGACCAGCCACAUUGGGACUGAGACACGGCCCAAACUCCUACGGGAGGCAGCAGUGGGGAAUCUUGCGCAAUGGGCGAAAGCCUGACGCAGCCAUGCCGCGUGUAUGAUGAAGGUCUUAGGAUUGUAAAAUACUUUUCACCGGUGAAGAUAAUGACUGUAGCCGGAGAAGAAGCCCCGGCUAACUUCGUGCCAGCAGCCGCGGUAAUACGAAGGGGGCGUAGCGUUGCUCGGAAUUACUGGGCGUAAGGGAGCGUAGGCGGACAUUU
RNAcentral lists this ribosomal RNA (511 nucleotides) under uncultured bacterium. RNAcentral's name for it is "bacterial SSU rRNA". It matches the Rfam family "Bacterial small subunit ribosomal RNA", at positions 28 to 584 of the family's 1533-position model. The record is from RNAcentral.